CGAAGUAUAGCUUAACAAAAGCACCUCGCUUACACCGAGAAAAUAUUUGUGAAACUCAAAUUACCUCGA
RNAcentral lists this transfer RNA (69 nucleotides) under Hylorina sylvatica (emerald forest frog). RNAcentral describes it as "tRNA-Val". It matches the Rfam family "tRNA". Rfam says of the family: Transfer RNA (tRNA) molecules are approximately 80 nucleotides in length. Their secondary structure includes four short double-helical elements and three loops (D, anti-codon, and T loops). Lineage: Eukaryota; Metazoa; Chordata; Amphibia; Anura; Alsodidae. The record is from RNAcentral.